This 202-nucleotide long non-coding RNA is filed under the name Trifolium pratense (red clover). RNAcentral's name for it is "long non-coding RNA (TPRA_LNC013750)". The record is from RNAcentral. Lineage: Eukaryota; Viridiplantae; Streptophyta; Magnoliopsida; Fabales; Fabaceae.
AGAAUAGUUACAAAGCAUACCACCUAUAAGGGACUGCAGACUUAUUGAAAGUUCAAUCAAAAUGUUUUAUAUUAAGAUGACAAUCUUUGUAAGACACGGUACUGUCAAUUACGUAUGAUCCAAAUAUCAAAUUUUGUAUCCAAUGUCAUUCAACGUCAAUUCAGUUUAUCAACUUUCGAACCACAUAAUCUAAAUAUCAAGU